Long non-coding RNA from Siniperca chuatsi (mandarin fish), 3426 nucleotides. RefSeq lists it as uncharacterized. The transcript is spliced from 2 exons. The record is from RefSeq and is a predicted model, not a curated record. NCBI's taxonomy places the organism in Eukaryota, Metazoa, Chordata, Actinopteri, Centrarchiformes, Sinipercidae.
CUCACAUGUGGAGACUCUACUCUCUUCUCAUUGGCUCACAGACCUGAAGGUGUCUUUUUCGGCUGAUUAAUUUACCUAAAAACUGCAGAUAUACUGCACUGAACACUCAGUGUAACCUCCCGUUUAUCUUGUCAUUGUGUUUCCUGUUUUGUUUUGAAGUACUAACUCUCCUGUCGUUUCAGUUCCUGCCCUGGUGUUUCCCCGGCCCCUAAUCACCACACCUGUGCCCUGUUACCUGCCCCUGGAUCCUCCCUCAGCAAACCCCUUAUAUACCUUGCUGUGUUCUCUGCUCUUUGCCAGAUUGUCUUUGUUCUACCUCGUGUGUUCAUCACUCUCCAGCAUUACUAAUGUUUGUGUCUUUGGUUUUUGGACUUUGCCUGCUCGCCUUGGACUGAAUUCCCGCGCAGGACCCCCGGCUCUUCAGUAAAGUCUGACCUUUGAACUUUACUCUAUGUCCUGUGCUUUUCAGUCUCUUGCCAGAAUCGUUACAGUACAAUCUGGCCAUGACAGUCUCAGGGGAAGAGACUAUACCACCACGAGCACAUGCUAACGAGUUUGGUCGGCGGUGUCCAAGAGUCUCAACCCUCAACCUUCAGCAGACCCAGCGUCCCCUGUCUCCCCUGCUCUACAGCAUACCGCUGCUUCGGUGAGUCUACCUAGUCCCCGUCCUGAACCCUGGGCGCCACAUGUGGAAAGGUACGAUGGUGAUGUGCUCUCUGCAGGUUUUUAACUGUUCCCUCACCUUCGAGCUCCAGCCCCGGUCUUACCCUACUGAGUGCCUCAGAGUGGCGUUCGUGAUCACCAAACUCUCGGGGAGAGCACGGGAAUGGGCUACAGCAGAAUGGGACAAACAAUUCCCUGUUUGCCGUUCUGUUUUGGACUUUUCUGGGGCUGGCCGGUGCCCUCUGAACACAAGCAAGUACAGAGAUUUCUGGUGUUUGCUAACUUUUAUAGACUGUUAAUCAGAUACUACAGUUUUGUUGCUGCUCCUCUGCAUACCCUUACCUCCCCAGGCACCAAGUUCCAGUGGUCCCCCCCCCCCCUCAAUCUGAACAGGCUUUUCGGACUCAAGGAACGGUUCGCCUCCGCAUCCAUACUUCACCCUCACCUUGCUGGACUCCAAGCUCCAGUUCAUAGUCGACUGGUUCUUCGGACGCUCAGCCUCCUCAGACAGCGCUUCUGAUGGCCCUCCCUGGAGGAGGACGCAAGGGAAUCGCUGCUUAUCAAAUUCGUGCCCAAAAUAAAAUGUCCCGCCAGUGUCCGACUGGAUUAUUGCAUCCCCCCCUCCCAGUACCACGGUGGCCUUGGUCCCACAUCUCGCUGGACUUCGUCACUGGACUGCCCCAGUCUGCAGAUGGCGGAGGUUAUGCUCUGCCAUGUUUUUCAGUUACAUGGCCUUGCCCAGGAUGUGGUGUCCAACUGGGGUCCCCAGUUAACCUGUGGAACUCCUUCCAGAAACAAGAGGCUAAUUGGGGCCACAGCAAGUCUCUAUUCUGGCUUCCACCCCCAGUCCAAUGGUCGGACUGAAUGCUACAACCAGGAGAUGGAGACAGGGCUUCGUUGUAUGGCCUCACAGAAUCCCACCUCAUGGCGCCGACAGUUAUUAUGGGUAGAAUAUGCUAAUAACUCUCACUUUCCAGUGCAUGUACAGUUAUCUGCCACCCUUCUCCCAGAUCUGGAAGAGGAGACAACGGUAUCAUCUACUCAGGCACUAGUGUCAUUGCCACUUCACCUGGAGGAAGGCUGGGACCUUCAUGUCUCGAAGGUCAAGACGAGCACCUUGGUUCCCCCCUCCACCCCCUAGGUCAUUGUCUACACGGUAAAACGUCUGCUGUAGAGGCUGGGGUCGCCAAUAUCUGGUUGACUGGGAGGGACACGGGCUGGAGGUUUCCACAUGGGACAUUCUGGACCCAUCCCUCAGGGCCUCCCAUCAGCACCCCCUGGACCAACCUGGGACAUAAGGAGCCGUCCUUAAAAGAGGGGGGGGGCACUGUAACAUCCUGUUAAUCUUGUCCAUUGUGUUUCCUGUUUAGUUUUGAAGUACUAACUCUCCUGUCAUUUCAGUUCCUGCCCUGGUGUUUCCCCUGCUCACCACACCUGUGCCCUGUUACCUGCCCCUGGAUCCUCCCUCAGCAAACCCCUUAUAUACCUUGCUGUGUUCUCUGCUGUUUGCCAGAUUGUCUUUGUCCUACUUCGUGUGUUCAUCGUUCUCCAGCAUUACUAAUGUUUGUCUUCGGUUUUUGGACUUUUGUCUUGUUUCUUGAUUACUUGUCUGAUUGGUUUGCUUGUCUUGGCCUGAAUUCCUGUGCAGGACCCGUGGCUCUCGAGUAAAGACUGCCCUUUGAACUCUACUGUGUGCUUAUCUUGGCAUCGGAGUCCCUGCUUUACCAGAGUCGUUGUACAGAGAAACUGCAGUAUCGACCAACUCGGCUAUCUGAUCCGUUUUAACUUUAUUUACAGUCCAUCCAGCUUAUAGGAAUCAAAUGUUUGUGUGCUUGGCUGAGUUUCUAGCUGGCAGAAUAUUGGGUUUUAUAUUGAAUUCAAUAUAAUUAAUUUAAAAUUAAUACAUUUAAGAAUGUGAAUUAAAGGCAGCUUAACCACCAAAUCACAUAAAAUUCACUGGAGUCAAAAAAUGACGGCAGUUACUGAGAUCUGUUAAGCUAGCUGCCUUUUAGCAGGAGUUUAGCGGUUUCUGUUCUCAAUCAUAAAUUUUUAAUUUUUUUUUUUAGCUGCUUUAUUUGUGGAACAAAUUGAAUAAACUGUCAAAACUUUUUUUAAUUUACAAAUAACUAAACGUAGCUUUAGCUAAGGUCUCUCAAGCUAGCUUUCCCUUGAUUAUAGCCCAAGAUGCUCUAAAACAAGAUGACACAUUACAAAGCUGCACCAAUGGCAUGAAAUAGCAUUCACUUCCUGUCUCCUAAGUGGGCGGCAAGUUUUAUUUUGAAUGUCAGUAUUUCCUCUACUAAUCUAGACUUUCUUUAACAGAACUGGUUGUCGCCUGUUGCCCCCCUUAACUAUGAAUAUUUGAGUUCUGGCCUGGCUGUACUGUUUUUGUUUUAAUUGCCACAUUAAUACAGAUAGAAGCCUCAAAACUAUAGAAUCUGGGUUUUUUUUGUUUGUUGCAUUGUACCUGUCCUUUGCCUUAUGGUCUGUUGCCCACCUAGACCGAAUGCUAGCCUUGCACAUGAAGUUUCUGAACAAAUAAUAUCCACAUUGAUUCAACAUACGGUUUUGCAACAGAAAACCAGUCAUUUAAUUUAGUCCAGCAUGUGUCUGGUCCAACUCAUAACUGUGGCAACACAUUAGAUUUAGUUUUCAGCCUUGAGUAUCAAUUCUAGUCUUGGAAAAUGUUUGUCUCUGAUCACCUUUGUAUCAAGUCUACCACGGUGUUCCACGAUGCCCCGAAACAACUUAGCAGAACUAUAC